GACGAACGCUGGCGGCGUGCUUAACACAUGCAAGUCGAACGGAAAGGCCCUGCUUGCAGGGUACUCGAGUGGCGAACGGGUGAGUAACACGUGGGUGAUCUGCCCUGCACUUCGGGAUAAGCCUGGGAAACUGGGUCUAAUACCGGAUAGGAGCCAUUCUUAGUGUGAUGGUUGGAAAGUUUUUUCGGUGUAGGAUGAGCUCGCGGCCUAUCAGCUUGUUGGUGGGGUAAUGGCCUACCAAGGCGGCGACGGGUAGCCGGCCUGAGAGGGUGGACGGCCACAUUGGGACUGAGAUACGGCCCAGACUCCUACGGGAGGCAGCAGUGGGGAAUAUUGCACAAUGGGCGCAAGCCUGAUGCAGCGACGCCGCGUGGGGGAUGACGGCCUUCGGGUUGUAAACUCCUUUCGCUAGGGACGAAGCUUUUUGUGACGGUACCUAGAUAAGAAGCACCGGCUAACUACGUG
RNAcentral lists this ribosomal RNA (465 nucleotides) under uncultured bacterium. RNAcentral's name for it is "partial 16S ribosomal RNA". It matches the Rfam family "Bacterial small subunit ribosomal RNA", at positions 28 to 507 of the family's 1533-position model. The record is from RNAcentral.